Long non-coding RNA from Pezoporus flaviventris, 1626 nucleotides. RefSeq lists it as uncharacterized. The transcript is spliced from 3 exons. NCBI's taxonomy places the organism in Eukaryota, Metazoa, Chordata, Aves, Psittaciformes, Psittacidae. The record is from RefSeq and is a predicted model, not a curated record.
CCUAAAUGUGGUGUGCACACAGGUGAGAUUCAGAAGGACAUGCUGAAGUUUGGUAUAAUUGUGUGUAUAUUCACAAAGAUCAGAAAUUCAAUAACAUCAGUAGUGAGUAAUGCUUUUUUCUCACUGCAGUACCAGCAAUUCAGAUUCUGGCUUACAAAGCAACCAAAGUGGUGUUUGCUUGGUUUUGCACAAGUUCCUCAGUAGAUGUAAGUCAACAUCUCAGGCCACCUUCACGCAGCCUAGGAAAGUGCAGAGGUUGCAGGUCACGUUCGUAAUGCACUCACAAGCUCAUGGGAGAGUUUCCAGAACAACUGCUUAGUUUAGUCAACCCCACUGUUUCCUCACCUUUAUGAGCAAUGGAGCCACAUCAGCAUUGUAAUACAGAGGAGGGAAUACCACAGGUACUGACAAUAAGUGUGAGGGACUUUUAUGUUAUUGCCCACUGUUUUGCACAUGGUCUGGUAUGAUUCAUCAUAUUCCCAAAAUGGGAGCACUGUUACAAAGACAGCGAUUUGGAAAUCUCAUCUAAUUGAGCCAUGAAGAAAUCAGACAUAACAAAAGAAUGGAAACAGCUGAUGUACCCCACGCUAACCGUAAAACUAGCUACAAAACAAUUCAUGUCAUGGGCUGUGAACUCAGGGAAGAAGAGAUAACUCUGAUCAGUAUCCAGCCAGGAGAGGGUCUAAUGUAUGCAUAGUGAUACCAGCCAUCAGGAUUUUAACUUGCUGUGAUUUAGUGGGCCUAUUUAUAAAACAGGUACCUGUACUCGUCCUUCCAGGUUUUCAAGGCGCUCUCACGUUCUACCAGUCUGUUAGCUGAGUUUUGAAAACAAGCCUGUGCAUUUGAAUUGAGGAAUUUCUAGUCUGCCAAAAAUGUGGAAGAUCUCUUUCCUUUCUCUUCACCUUCAACCCUGCCAGCAAUGGACUGUGUUGGCUUUCUUAUAAACACUUCAAGAAGUGUUUGUUUUGGAAGCCAUGCCAGUGUGCUGUUUUUCUGAACAUUCAGCACUGGUUCCUGUCUGUCUGGUGUUUCAGUUGAGGUUUUAGGUGUCUCCUCCAUAGGCAGAGCAUUGCCAGUAGGUUGAGGGAGGUGAUCAUUCCCCUCUCCUCAGCACUGGUGGGACACAUCUGGUUCUCUCCAGUACAAGAGACAUGGAUAUAAAGGAGAGAGUCCAGCAAAGGGCCACAAGGAUGAUUCAGGCCUUGGAGCAUCUGUCAAACAAGGAGAGGUGACAGCUGGGGCUGGAGAAGAGAAGGCUCAUGGUGACCUUCCCAGAAAGAAGACGGGUUGCUGUUUCCAUUUAACCAAACAGCACAUGCACUACUUGGAUGGCCAUUCAAGUGGCAAAGAAGACCAGUGGGAGGCCAGAAGGAGCUUUCCUUAAUCUAAAGGGUUCAAAAAAUGCUGGGAACUUGUGGCUGCUCUCACUUAAGUAAUGGGGCAGUGGAGCUGACAGGUUUUAUGCAUUCUGCUCUGCAAGCUGUGGAUUGUGAAUCUGAACACAAGGAUUUUCUGAUGUGAUGUCUGAAAGUUCAGCCUCAAUAGACAAUACUUUCACUUUUAAUCCAGAUACAGCACAAGAUUUUUACUGUCUUCUGCCAAAGAACUCCUCCCCUGUUCUUCAGC